ACAAUGAAGAGUUUGAUCCUGGCUCAGGAUGAACGCUAGCUACAGGCUUAACACAUGCAAGUCGAGGGGCAUCAGGAAGAAAGCUUGCUUUCUUUGCUGGCGACCGGCGCACGGGUGAGUAACACGUAUCCAACCUGCCCUUUACUCGGGGAUAGCUUUUCGAAAGAAAGAUUAAUACCCGAUAGCAUAAUGAUUCCGCAUGGUUUCAUUAUUAAAGGAUUCCGGUAAAGGAUGGGGAUGCGUUCCAUUAGGUUGUUGGUGAGGUAACGGCCCACCAAGCCUUCGAUGGAUAGGGGUUCUGAGAGGAAGGUCCCCCACAUUGGAACUGAGACACGGUCCAAACUCCUACGGGAGGCAGCAGUGAGGAAUAUUGGUCAAUGGGCGCUAGCCUGAACCAGCCAAGUAGCGUGAAGGAUGAAGGCUCUAUGGGUCGUAAACUUCUUUUAUAUAAGAAUAAAGUGCAGUAUGUAUACUGUUUUGUAUGUAUUAUAUGAAUAAGGAUCGGCUAACUCCGUGCCAGCAGCCGCGGUAAUACGGAGGAUCCGAGCGUUAUCCGGAUUUAUUGGGUUUAAAGGGAGCGUAGGUGGACUGGUAAGUCAGUUGUGAAAGUUUGCGGCUCAACCGUAAAAUUGCAGUUGAUACUGUCAGUCUUGAGUACAGUAGAGGUGGGCGGAAUUCGUGGUGUAGCGGUGAAAUGCUUAGAUAUCACGAAGAACUCCGAUUGCGAAGGCAGCUCACUGGACUGCAACUGACACUGAUGCUCGAAAGUGUGGGUAUCAAACAGGAUUAGAUACCCUGGUAGUCCACACAGUAAACGAUGAAUACUCGCUGUUUGCGAUAUACAGUAAGCGGCCAAGCGAAAGCAUUAAGUAUUCCACCUGGGGAGUACGCCGGCAACGGUGAAACUCAAAGGAAUUGACGGGGGCCCGCACAAGCGGAGGAACAUGUGGUUUAAUUCGAUGAUACGCGAGGAACCUUACCCGGGCUUAAAUUGCAGUGGAAUGAUGUGGAAACAUGUCAGUGAGCAAUCACCGCUGUGAAGGUGCUGCAUGGUUGUCGUCAGCUCGUGCCGUGAGGUGUCGGCUUAAGUGCCAUAACGAGCGCAACCCUUAUCUUUAGUUACUAACAGGUUAUGCUGAGGACUCUAGAGAGACUGCCGUCGUAAGAUGUGAGGAAGGUGGGGAUGACGUCAAAUCAGCACGGCCCUUACGUCCGGGGCUACACACGUGUUACAAUGGGGGGUACAGAAGGCAGCUAGCGGGUGACCGUAUGCUAAUCCCAAAAUCCUCUCUCAGUUCGGAUCGAAGUCUGCAACCCGACUUCGUGAAGCUGGAUUCGCUAGUAAUCGCGCAUCAGCCACGGCGCGGUGAAUACGUUCCCGGGCCUUGUACACACCGCCCGUCAAGCCAUGGGAGCCGGGGGUACCUGAAGUACGUAACCGCAAGGAUCGUCCUAGGGUAAAACUGGUGACUGGGGCUAAGUCGUAACAAGGUAGCCGUACCGGAAGGUGCGGCUGGAACACCUCCUUU
This 1529-nucleotide ribosomal RNA is filed under the name Bacteroides fragilis. RNAcentral's name for it is "bacterial SSU rRNA". It matches the Rfam family "Bacterial small subunit ribosomal RNA". The record is from RNAcentral. Lineage: Bacteria; Pseudomonadati; Bacteroidota; Bacteroidia; Bacteroidales; Bacteroidaceae.